AAGCAACAUUCACGUCUGCUGUGCCAUCCCCAGCCACAAGGUUCUGAUUAUGAUUAACGAAUGCUCUUCAGAAUUCAAACAUCUUGAAAAACAGCCAGUGCCUUGAAAAUAACAAUAAAAGUAAGGUGGCGCAGGCUUUUGAAGUCGUUAGGGAAACGAUCACUGUGAUCUUUGUACCACGGCUGCAGAGAGAGGACAUCAUUUCACAUUUUUGGCGUUGUUAAUGACAGCACAGCGACAGAAAGCAAGCAGGAGUUUCUGGGAGUAGCGUUAGGAUGCGGGCUCCUGCUGAGCGCCCCAUUCCUGGCUCUGCACAGCUGCCUUCUCAGCUGGGGGUUUGAAGUCAGCACUGAGAAAAGACAGACGUGCCCGUGGUGAGCGCAUGCUCCUCGCUAUGAGACAAAGAUUUGAAAGUUCGCUUCAGAAUCGUGCUGAACAUCAACACAGACUAUGUAUCAACAGUCUCAUCAAAACCGUCAACUAACCUGGGCCUGGUGGCGCAGAGGCCUGGAUGAACUCUCCACCCAAACUAAACAUACGUGCACAAGAAGUUCUGAUCAUGGCGCUGAAGACAAUUAGGCGCAGGAGCAGGUGGAGAACCCAGACUUUCAGCCGUGACUCAGUUAAAACCAAAUUGCUCAGCCCAGGACCUGUCCAUCUCACACUGGCUGGCCAGGGAGCACUUGCACGCCAGGGGUGACCUGAGCUGAGGUGGCCUCUGAGGACUCCAGCCCCAGCAUCCUUCCUUAGGAGAACCAGCCCUGGCCACCGAUGCACUCUGUCUUCCAGCCUGACGACAGAGAGUUUUCCAGUUCCUUGACUUCAACUAACUGGCCCCUUCUUUCCACAUCACCCUGGUCACCUGACCAAACAAAUGGAGAAAUCUUCCAGAAAUGAGCCAAAAUGCUAGUUCUGUGGCCUAUGCCCAUCCUCAAAAAUGGUCUGAAAGCUCCACCAUGAAAGCAGACUUCCAUCCCUUACUUUAAACUGGAGUAUGUUCAUGCUGGAAAACCAAAACCUACUGUUACACGUUCCAGUAACUCUAGGUUAUUAUUCAUUGAGGUUCAUCAAAGCCAUUUUAUUUAAAACUCUAGACUGACAAGAUAAUGAAUUUCAGCUGAUGUGGGAAAUAGAGUUAUAAGAGGCCAGACAUGGCAGUGCGCACCUCUAAUUCCAGCACUUGGGAGGGCAGAGGAAGAAAGACAAUGAAUUUAAGGCCAACUCAGUAUACAAGUGAGCAGUUCUGACAUGCUGUUGGCCUGGAGAUUUACACUGCUUGUCAACUCAGCAGGAGGUUGGGUCACCUUGCGGACAAACCUCUGGAUAUUUCCCUGAAGGACUUUUUGCACUGGAUUAAUUGGGGUGGGAAGGCCCUCCCCCCCACCCUUUCUGCUUGACUCACUGAAAAGGAGAAAGACAGUGAAAUGCUAGAAUUAUCUCUCUGCUUUGUGACUGUGGAGUCCACGUGCCCAGCUGUUGCACACUCUGGCCUCUGUAUCUUCCCCACCACAAUGGGCUGUAUCAUCCCACCAAACUAUAAGCUGGAGCCUUUCUCCAUCAGUUGCUCCUUAGGUUUGUCUGCUGUUCAUCUGUAGCCAUGGGAUGAAGAAUUGAUACAACUGUGCCAUCUCUACUGCAAUAGCAAGUAAACUUUCAGGCGAAUAUACACAAAAUAUCCAGUUUUUAAAUGCCUACAAGAUAUUCUGUCAGGCUAAUGUAGAUAUUUAUAUUCAUCACAUAGAGUGGAUUAUUUUUCUGCCUUAGUAAGAUAUGGUAGAUAUUUUUUCCUUGAAUCUUCUCUCUUGUUCUUGAAUACCAUUAAAUGACUAAAAAGUCUGCUUUCGGGGUGACUUCUCUUCAGUGGUGUGCUCCAAUACUGAUGGUUCAAUGUCUUGAAAUUUAUGAAGCAGUUAAGCAUGCUUGUUAUUUAAAAUUAAACCUUAAAAUUCUACACUUAAGUCUUCUGAAACAAAAUGAUCACUGUUCAGUACUUACUGUUUUCUAAUAUUUGGCGUUGUCUGUAUUCUUGCUAUUGUGCCUAUUGAAUUCAGAUGGUAAAAAGACCCCCGCAUUCGGUACUUUUGAACAUCCCUUUUCACCGUUGCCGUCACUGGCGUUAGUCACGUAGCUUGAACCACCUACAUGUCUUUGAAUAACUUACAUUUUCAUUUUGAAUAUUGUCAAAUACUACAAGCCAGAGGCUUAUUUCUUAUAUUGCACUAUAACAAACAAUGGUCCUUGCUGUGGAUUCCAGUGUCUCCUAUCUCCAUAAAUCAUGCAAAUGGGAAGUUUUCUCUUUGUUUCUGUGGUAAAGAAUAUCCCUGUUAGAAGCUGGCCUUGUCAGUGCACCCUUUCAAGCUUAACACCCAGGGGGCAGAGAUAGGAGAAUUUCUGUGAGUUCAAAACCAGCCCUUAGACUUCAUGUUGAAUUCCAGGUUAGUUAGCCUGGGCUACAGUGACACCCUACCUCAAAAAAAAAAACAAAAAAAAAAAAACCCACAAAGAAUAUUCCUAUUAAGUAUUUAUCCUAACUGCAGUUGCAGAGAUCACCAAGGAACUUUUCAGUGAUGCAUAUGAGAGAUCCGUUUUACCAUUCUUAUGGUCUGGCCUUCUGGGGAUGAGCACUAGGAAACAAAAUCAACUUGAAACAGGAAUAUAUGUGGUGGCCUUUUCCCUGAUUAUGCCUCCAUCUUUGAUUUCUCCUAUACUCUUUCCUUCACUGAGGCACUUCUUUUGGCCAACUACCUCUAAACAUCUUCCAGUGUCUGCAUUCUAGUGCAAGAUGCAGUAUUCUGUUGUCCCCAAGUGAAAUAUUAUUUCUAUAAAAAUCACUGGUCAUAUUAUUGAUUGUUCUUCCACCAACCUGCUAAUUUCAUAUGUUGGAAUUACAACUUCCAUUACUUCAGAACAUCACCUUAUACAUUAAUAGGGCCAUUGCUGAUGAUAGUUGAAUUCAUUUGUUGCAAUGUGGUUUUUACUAAAAUAGUCAUUAAACCCAAAUGACUGGUAUAUUUAUAAGAAGGAAAACUUAGAGUUGCCGGGUGUGGUGGUGCACGCCUUUAAUCCCAGCACUCAGGAGGCAGAGGUAGGAGGAUCGCCAUGAGUUCGAGGCCACCUUGAGACUACAGAGUGAAUUCCAGGUCAGCCUGGACUAGAGCGAGACCCUGCCUUGAAACACCAAGAAAAAAGAAAAAAAAGAAGGAAAACUUUGGAAACAUGCACACACACACUUAUUGCUAUGCAAACAUGACAGCAGAAAAUAAAUAAGGGUGAUAAAUUUUAAGUUAAUGAAUCCCAGGUUAUAAAAGAAAUACCCCCCCCCACACACACACAAGGGCCAGUGGGAGGGGAGAGCAUUAUGUUUUUCCUCCUGUAGAAGGACAUGACCUGCUGAGGCACUUCUAAACGUUUAGCCUCCAAAAUGGUGAGGCAACAACUUCUUGUUGAUGCUACCGAAUUCAUCCUGCUAUUUUAUGGCAGCCAUGAAACUAAUAAACCAUCAAUUUUUACAUUUA
This is a long non-coding RNA of Jaculus jaculus (lesser Egyptian jerboa), 3515 nucleotides long. RefSeq lists it as uncharacterized. The record is from RefSeq and is a predicted model, not a curated record. The transcript is spliced from 7 exons. Lineage: Eukaryota; Metazoa; Chordata; Mammalia; Rodentia; Dipodidae.